This 253-nucleotide ribosomal RNA is filed under the name uncultured bacterium. Its description in RNAcentral is "partial 16S ribosomal RNA". It matches the Rfam family "Bacterial small subunit ribosomal RNA", at positions 524 to 776 of the family's 1533-position model. The record is from RNAcentral.
UACGUAGGGUGCGAGCGUUAAUCGGAAUUACUGGGCGUAAAGCGUGCACAGGCGGUUUUGUAAGUCAGAUGUGAAAGACCCGGGCUUAACCUGGGAAUGGCAUUUGGGACUGCAAGGCUUGAGUGCGGUAGAGGAGACUGGAAUUCCUGGUGUAGCAGUGAAAUGCGUAGAUAUCAGGAGGAAUACCGAUGGCGAAGGCAGGUCUCUGGGCAUUAACUGACGCUGAGGAGCGAAAGCAUGGGGAGCGAACAGG